GGAGCCGUAGCGAAAGCGAGUUUUAACUGAGCGUUCAGUUACUUGACGUAGACCCGAAACCGGGCGACCUACCCAUGAGCAGGAUGAAGCGAAAGUAAAAUUGCGUGGAGGUCCGAACCCACGAGCGUUGAAAAGCUCGGGGAUGACUUGUGGGUAGCGGUGAAAUUCCAAUCGAGCCCGGAGAUAGCUGGUUCUCCCCGAAAUAGCUUUAGGGCUAGCCUCAAGGUGAGAGAUACGGAGGUAGAGCACUGAAUGUCCUAGGGGGUAUUGCACCU
RNAcentral lists this ribosomal RNA (275 nucleotides) under Clostridioides difficile. RNAcentral describes it as "partial 23S ribosomal RNA". It matches the Rfam family "Bacterial large subunit ribosomal RNA", at positions 662 to 937 of the family's 2925-position model. The record is from RNAcentral. Lineage: Bacteria; Bacillati; Bacillota; Clostridia; Peptostreptococcales; Peptostreptococcaceae.